UCAGAAGUCACUAAGUCAAGCC
This 22-nucleotide non-coding RNA is filed under the name Arabidopsis thaliana (thale cress). Lineage: Eukaryota; Viridiplantae; Streptophyta; Magnoliopsida; Brassicales; Brassicaceae. The record is from RNAcentral.